Molecule: long non-coding RNA, 1285 nt
Filed under: Struthio camelus australis
Lineage: Eukaryota; Metazoa; Chordata; Aves; Struthioniformes; Struthionidae
Description: lncRNA (ENSSCUG00000014984.1)
Source: RNAcentral
UUUUUUUUUUUUUCCUUUUCACGUGCUUUCUACUCAUGUGUGUUAAUCUUAUUAACAGUAAUACAUGCCUUAAUAUGCUUUACUUCAUCUCUUACAGGUGGUUAAUAUAUGAAGAUCUUUGCCAGGAGGAACAAGAAAAGGAAGUUAAAGGUGCCGUGUUCUUGAGGAGAUGGAUACUGAAAGAUGUGAAACCAGUAAAAUUCCACACUUCAUGGAAGGAAAAAUUGGAGUUGCAAGUUAAUUGUGACUGGAGACCUGGCAGGGUGGCGUGGCUCACAGUGGCUUAGAUUUCGAACACUGACUGUGUCAACACCAAGAGCUGUAGUGAGUUCAUUUCUUUCCUUCAUCUCGUAACUGUAAGGAAACUUUCCUGGCUUUCAGUUGGCAGCAUGGUCGUUGGUCUAGGCCCAUAGGGAAAAGGCGUUGGGUCCAGUGCGGUCUUGGGAAUUCUGAAACCCUUGAUCAAAAUCUCUGGUGGCUUGCUGACAGGAGGAAUUGUGAGAUGGUGGAAAAAGAUGUAUGCUUAAGUGUGCCUUUGUGUGUGACGCGUGUUCAGUGCAAUAUAAACUGCAUGUUGAACGAACUUCUGAGGUAUCUGUUUCUGUGGGAAAAACAGAUGUCAGCACUACUUGACUAGUUAUGUUGUGUCUGAAUUAUUUUGUAUACUACUAUUCUUGGCAGCAAAGCCAGUGUUAAGAGGUUAAUACUUCAGUUGCUAUCCCACUGUGCCGGUUACUGUGCUGCAGACAAAGCUGUUUGUAAGGCUGUUAUCAGGAAUAUGAGCAACAGUAAAAGAAAAAUUUUGGUUAGGUAUUUUAUUUUGCAGCGUUUUCAAGAGGAAAGAUCAGUUCACUCAUCUGGCUAAUCAUUUCCCCAAGAAAAUGCAAAUUUGUCCCCAAGAAAAUGCAAAUUUGAACAACAGUUUGGUCAUGCCUGGGUGUCUCAGUCUGGGAAGGUAAGUCUUAAACUUUCUCUUCUAGAUCCUAGAAAUUUGGAGGGGUUUUUUGGCUGCAGAGUACAUGAGAAGGAGGUAUGAAAAGGAAGGAAAAAUAGGAAUUUCUUACACCUGCUUCACCAUGCAUGCAUGUGAGGCCUAGCUGAUAACCAAAGGUUAGCAUUGAGCAAAUAAGAGUGAAUGGUAGCUUGGCUCAUUUCAUACUUAAACAUACCAUAAUUUAAGAUAUUUAAACAGAUCUGUAUUCCUUUAAAAUUAAUGAAUGUCUUUGAAGACCUGACAGCAGUGUGACUGAAGGUUAUACUUCUUUCCAGAAGGCACCAAGUGAUG